AGAAUCAACGCUGGCGGCGUGCCUAACACAUGCAAGUCGAACGAGAAAGUGGAGCAAUCCAUGAGUAAAGUGGCGCACGGGUGAGUAACACGUGACUAACCUACCCUCGAGUGGGGAAUAACUUCGGGAAACCGAGGCUAAUACCGCAUAAAACCUAAGGGUCAAAGGAGCAAUCCGUUUGAGGAGGGGGUCGCGGCAGAUUAGUUAGUUGGCGGGGUAAUGGCCCACCAAGACGAUGAUCUGUAUCCGGCCUGAGAGGGCGCACGGACACACUGGAACUGAAACACGGUCCAGACUCCUACGGGAGGCAGCAGUGGGGAAUUUGCGCAAUGGGGGAAACCCUGACGCAGCAACGCCGCGUGGAGGAUGAAAUCCCUUGGGAUGGUAAACUCCUUUCGAUCGGGAAGAUAAUGACGGUACCGGAAGAAGAAGCCCGGCUAACUUCGCGCCAGCAGCCGC
This 459-nucleotide ribosomal RNA is filed under the name uncultured bacterium. Its description in RNAcentral is "SSU rRNA". It matches the Rfam family "Bacterial small subunit ribosomal RNA", at positions 26 to 518 of the family's 1533-position model. The record is from RNAcentral.